GUGGGGAAUAUUGGACAAUGGGCGAAAGCCUGAUCCAGCCAUGCCGCGUGUGUGAAGAAAGUCUUCGGAUUGUAAAGCACUUUAAGUUGGGAGGAAGGGCAGUAAGUUAAUACCUUGCUGUUUUGACGUUACCGACAGAAUAAGCACCGGCUAACUUCGUGCCAGCAGCCGCGGUAAUACGAAGGGUGCAAGCGUUAAUCGGAAUUACUGGGCGUAAAGCGCGCGUAGGUGGUUUUGUAAGUUGGAGGUGAAAUCCCCGGGCUCAACCUGGGAACUGCCUCCAAAACUGCAUGACUAGAGUACGGUAGAGGGUAGUGGAAUUUCCUGUGUAGCGGUGAAAUGCGUAGAUAUAGGAAGGAACACCAGUGGCGAAGGCGACUACCUGGACUGAUACUGACACUGAGGUGCGAAAGCGUGGGGAGCAAACAGGAUUAGAAACCCUGGUAGUCC
RNAcentral lists this ribosomal RNA (450 nucleotides) under uncultured bacterium. RNAcentral's name for it is "partial 16S ribosomal RNA". It matches the Rfam family "Bacterial small subunit ribosomal RNA", at positions 354 to 796 of the family's 1533-position model. The record is from RNAcentral.